Danaus plexippus (monarch butterfly) is the source of this 351-nucleotide long non-coding RNA. RefSeq lists it as uncharacterized. The record is from RefSeq and is a predicted model, not a curated record. The transcript has 3 exons. Lineage: Eukaryota; Metazoa; Arthropoda; Insecta; Lepidoptera; Nymphalidae.
UCCAUUACUUUACUUGCACUUUAAGGUUUUAUUUGAAGAUUUUUCGAUUUUUGUAUCCAUUUUAGAUGUGCACCAGUUUAUUCUAUACUUGAAAACGCUAACAUUGAGUACUGCUUACUGAUUAAUUGACAGCAUCGGGAGUGAGGUCUGUGCGGGGCAUUAAAAGCCUGAUAAACUGAGCUGCUCGUCGGUAAUUCAACUAAAUAUUGGUUGUCGUCAGCCAGCGACAAGCUAAUAAAAUCAGAACGGCUGGUAUGAGAACGAAGAAUAUAUUAUUAUAGUAUGAAAAUGGUUUGUACGUCAAGAAACCGUCUGGACCCGAAAUGAAUUCUACGUCUCCGAAGUUGUGAA